RNAcentral lists this ribosomal RNA (867 nucleotides) under uncultured bacterium. RNAcentral describes it as "bacterial SSU rRNA". It matches the Rfam family "Bacterial small subunit ribosomal RNA", at positions 638 to 1504 of the family's 1533-position model. The record is from RNAcentral.
GGGCUUGAGUGUGGUAGGGGCAGAGGGAAUUCCCGGUGUAGCGGUGAAAUGCGUAGAUAUCGGGAAGAACACCAGUGGCGAAGGCGCUCUGCUGGGCCAUCACUGACGCUCAUGGACGAAAGCCAGGGGAGCGAAAGGGAUUAGAUACCCCUGUAGUCCUGGCCGUAAACGAUGAACACUAGGUGUCGGGGGAAUCGACCCCCUCGGUGUCGUAGCCAACGCGUUAAGUGUUCCGCCUGGGGAGUACGCACGCAAGUGUGAAACUCAAAGGAAUUGACGGGGGCCCGCACAAGCGGUGGAGUAUGUGGUUUAAUUCGAUGCAACGCGAAGAACCUUACCAGGGUUUGACAUCCUGCGAACCUCUUGGAAGCGAGAGGGUGCCUUCGGGAACGCAGUGACAGGUGGUGCAUGGCUGUCGUCAGCUCGUGUCGUGAGAUGUUGGGUUAAGUCCCGCAACGAGCGCAACCCACGUCUUUAGUUGCCAGCAUUUAGUUGGGCACUCUAGAGAGACCGCCGGUGAUAAACCGGAGGAAGGUGUGGAUGACGUCAAGUCAUCAUGCCCCUUACAUCCUGGGCUACACACGUACUACAAUGCUACGGACAAAGAGCAGCAAGUUCGCGAGGACAAGCAAAUCUCAUAAACCGUGGCUCAGUUCAGAUCGUAGGCUGCAACUCGCCUACGUGAAGGAGGAAUCGCUAGUAAUCGCAGGUCAGCAUACUGCGGUGAAUACGUUCCCGGGCCUUGUACACACCGCCCGUCACACCAUGGAAGUUGGCCACGCCCGAAGCCGUUACUCCAACCCUUGUGGAGGAGGACGUCGAAGGUGGGGCUGAUGACUGGGGUGAAGUCGUAACAAGGUAACCGUA